RNAcentral lists this ribosomal RNA (488 nucleotides) under Nilaparvata lugens (brown planthopper). Its description in RNAcentral is "partial 16S ribosomal RNA". The stretch from base 1 to 155 matches the Rfam family "Archaeal large subunit ribosomal RNA", at positions 1889 to 2085 of the family's 2987-position model. Lineage: Eukaryota; Metazoa; Arthropoda; Insecta; Hemiptera; Delphacidae. The record is from RNAcentral.
CGCCUGUUUAUCAAAAACAUUUCUUUCAGGUAUUAUAUUUAUUGAAAGUUUAACCUGCUCAAUGAAUUUUUUAAAUAGCUGCAGUAAUUUAACUGUACAAAGGUAGCAUAGUAAUUAGUCUUUUAAUUGAGGUCUAGAAUGAAUGGUUUAACAAGAAGUAAGCUUUAUUAAUUCAAUUAAGUGAAAUUUAUUUUUUAGUUAAAAAGCUAAAAUUUAAAAAUGGGACGAUAAGACCCUUUAGAUCUUUAAAUUUUAAUUGAAUAAUAAUAUUAAUGUGGAUUUAAUUUUUAUUAAAUAAAAUUUUUUGUUGGGGUGACAGCUAAAAUCUUAAAUCUUUAGUAUUUUACACCAUUUAUUUAUGUAUAUUUGAACCUUAAUUUAGGGUUAUUAAAAUAAGAUACCUUAGGGAUAACAGCAUAAUAAAUUUGCAAAGUUCAUAUAUAUAAAUUUGAUUGUGACCUCGAUGUUGAAUUAAUCUAGAAUUCUGG